AAAACGACUCUCGACAACGGAUAUCUCGGCUCUCGCAUCGAUGAAGAACGUAGCUAAAUGCGAUACUUGGUGUGAAUUGCAGAAUCCCGUGAACCAUCGAGUCUUUGAACGCAAGUUGCGCCCGAAGCCGUCAGGCCGAGGGCACGUCUGCCUGGGCGUCACGC
RNAcentral lists this ribosomal RNA (164 nucleotides) under Lobelia aberdarica. RNAcentral describes it as "5.8S ribosomal RNA". It matches the Rfam family "5.8S ribosomal RNA". From Rfam's summary of the family: 5.8S ribosomal RNA (5.8S rRNA) is a component of the large subunit of the eukaryotic ribosome. Lineage: Eukaryota; Viridiplantae; Streptophyta; Magnoliopsida; Asterales; Campanulaceae. The record is from RNAcentral.